Molecule: long non-coding RNA, 349 nt
Organism: Oxyura jamaicensis (ruddy duck)
Lineage: Eukaryota; Metazoa; Chordata; Aves; Anseriformes; Anatidae
Exons: 3
Source: RefSeq, a predicted model, not a curated record
AGAUACCCACUAUUUCUUAAAAUAGCCAGUCAACACUCAUGUUGGACCUCAGCUUUUGGUUUGAGGUUUCUUUGUCUGAAUAUUCAAGAUGGAGCUUGAACAAAACAGAGCACAAAAUGAAAAUAUUAAGUGAAAUUUCCCAGAAAUGGAGCAAAGACAUCUUAUGCAGACUUGCUGCUGGUCCUCCAGGAUUUCUACAUUGUUAUAACUGGAGCAUAAAGAUUAAGAAGAAAAGCUGGAGUUCACAAAUCAGAAUGUGGGUAAUGAUGUUAGUGACCCAGUCACACAUCAGUCUCUAACACACCGGGAUUUGAAGGAUUUACUGGCAUGGUGGGAACACCAUAAACAU